Phyllopteryx taeniolatus (common seadragon) is the source of this 1641-nucleotide long non-coding RNA. RefSeq lists it as uncharacterized. The transcript is spliced from 3 exons. NCBI's taxonomy places the organism in Eukaryota, Metazoa, Chordata, Actinopteri, Syngnathiformes, Syngnathidae. The record is from RefSeq and is a predicted model, not a curated record.
CGGCCGAUGACUUAUAAACCGGUAGACCGGGCAACGCGUGGACUCCGCUCGGGACGCGCCGCAGAGGAGCAAAGUUCAAGCCUGCCCGUGUGUGCGUGUCACAGUCACCUCAUCACCUAUUGCUUAUUUAGGAUACUCGUCCCCCUUUUUUACGGCACCAGUGUUUGUCUCUGCUUCAUUUGCAAAGCUAUUAGCGGGCAAUGUUUAUUCAAAAGGUGUAAUAUGUAACCCUCCGGCGAGCGGUCGUUUUGACUUUGUUUCCACGGCGAUGGACUUUUGUUAGCGCAUCCGUAUCUCGUUUUAUCUCGGGUGAGCUUCGUCGAUGAAAAUAAGGAAAGCGGCGAAGCCGACAAGCCGGUCUAACGUUGAUCCGCAGCAAUAUUUGAAUAGUCGAAGUUGCCGAGAGCUGCUGAAUGUUAAUAUAAGCAAAUGAUUUGGGAUGUCGGAAAAAAGCAAACAUCCAGAACACACAGAAUGUUGUUGACUCGGAAAACCUAGCUAAAUUCCCAUUUUGAUUCCAGAACUACACACAAAUUCAUAUAAAAGCAGCAAGUGGAGGGCUACCAUGUUGGAGGCCUGGCAUUCAAAAAAAAAAAAAAAAAAGCAUUUCAGAGCUGACUGAUUGGUUAGGCUGGAGAAGAGGGGGUGGGGAUCCGUGUUGAUUGACAGUCGGACUGAACAAUGGGGCCACGCGGAGGCCGAACAGGCAAGAAAAAGAAGAGAAAAUGGGCCUCCGCGAUACGUCGCUUCCAACGGGGAAGCGUAUUUUCAUGUGGAUGAGCCUUGGAGUUACAGCAACAAGCGGGACUGAGUCAUUAUUAUUUUUCGCAUGGAUUAAAAAAUACCCAUUCACUCGGUGCGCGCGUGUGCGCGUGCGUGUGUGUGUGUGUGUGUGUGUGUGACAUUCAGGGGUCAAGAGAAACAUGACAAGUGAGAUGAAAUCAACAACGGCACAGGUGACGAAUGGAUGCUUGCUCGGCUGAGAGGCCAAAGGUGGAGGAAGGUUGGCGACACACAGAAAAUUGCUUUGGAACGGAGACUUCCCCUCUGCGCUCGAUAAAUGUUCAACAUCAACUCGAUGUUGUAAAGAACCGGAACCGCUUCCUCCUUGUCCUCCAUUUGUUGCCCUCGCUUUCACUUCACUCCCUCCCAUGGAAAGGCUCUGUUGCCAUGGCAGCAGAGCGCCAGUGGCCCGGGUGCCGUUGCCAUAGCGACCCAUAUGAUGUCUUACACAGGGGCCGCCAUUGGAUGAUUCCAUUUCUCAGCGCGCUCACGUCGAGAUGGAUGGCGGCUGCCGCUUUGCUGAAGGAUGUUGAGGGUUGGCUACGUGAAAAGAAAGUCAAGCGCGAAGAACAUUUCCACGAUGACUCAUCCACUCUGUAGCCAGCACGCGCCAACUUUGCGCGGACCGACACGAUUAACGGUAGAUUAUAAAUACGGAAUGAAUUUCACUUCAUUUUUACGUUCUUAUGUGUCACCAUGUGAAUCGAAUCUUCCCGAAGCUUUAAGAAUCACUCGUGCUAACCUCAGCCCCCCAAAUAUGCUUGAAUAUGUAUUUUAAUGAGAGAAGCAAAAAGAAGAAAAUUGCUCUCCAUAAUAUCGUAUAACAUUGCUAAAAAAACAAAACAAAUGGAAUUAAAA